GACGAACGCUGGCGGCGUGCUUAACACAUGCAAGUCGAACGGAAAGGCCCUGCUUGCCGGGUACUCGAGUGGCGAACGGGUGAGUAACACGUGGGUGAUCUGCCCUGCACUUCGGGAUAAGCCUGUGAAACUGGGUCUAAUACCGGAUAGGAGCCAUUUUUAGUGUGAUGGUUGGAAAGUUUUUUCGGUGUAGGAUGAGCUCGCGGCCUAUCAGCUUGUUGGUGGGGUAAUGGCCUACCAAGGCGGCGACGGGUAGCCGGCCUGAGAGGGUGGACGGCCACAUUGGGACUGAGAUACGGCCCAGACUCCUACGGGAGGCAGCAGUGGGGAAUAUUGCACAAUGGGCGCAAGCCUGAUGCAGCGACGCCGCGUGGGGGAUGACGGCCUUCGGGUUGUAAACUCCUUUCGCUAGGGACGAAGCUUUUGUGACGGUACCUAGAUAAGAAGCACCGGCUAACUACGUG
This 464-nucleotide ribosomal RNA is filed under the name uncultured bacterium. Its description in RNAcentral is "partial 16S ribosomal RNA". It matches the Rfam family "Bacterial small subunit ribosomal RNA", at positions 28 to 507 of the family's 1533-position model. The record is from RNAcentral.